UGACUCACUAAAUGACCACCAUGUAGAUCUAUCAUCCUAGCAACUGGCUGCAGAUUCUCUGCAAGUCUCCUGGCGUAGUAUAUUUGAGCAAUGAUAUCAUGCCUACACAUACAGAGCAGCUCAAAUUCAUCUUAAGAAGUGGGUAUCCAAGUCAACAGCUGCCCUUUGCUCAGGAGUCUUUGCCCUUAAGAAACGGAUUGCAAUUGACACAGUCUGGCGAUCAAGCUGCAAGAAAUAAGUAAGAUCAUCUUUCUGAUAACACUUAGAACUAGCAAAUCCAUCUUACAAUUACUAGCUAAUAGAUUUGUGAAGCAGUUCUAGUUUAGGACAUUCAAGAUUCAUCUGACUUAAAAGCUACAUAUAGAUUUAUGCCCAUGUCAAGCAAAUCAUAUAUACUUUAAAAGCUGCAAAUCCUUAUCCAUCAAAGUAAACCUGGUUAUUUACUUGUCAUCCUAAUGUAAAAGUUUGAUAUUUUCAAGAAUAGUUUAUGAACAUUGCAUUGAGGAUUAUAACCUUACCAUGUGAUAAAAAUAAGCAUUUCAAAGGCUCAACAGAAUUACAAGCCACAAGCAACAAUGAGUUCAAGGAGGGCUGGCAAAGGCCUAUACCACCCUAAAAUUGUUAUUAUUAGUUGGGAAUAUGUUAGUGUGGGAAUGUUUUAAAUAGACUCUCACGUUUUUCUAAAGAAAAUUUUAAUGAAAUAUUAAAUGGUUUAUAUUUUCUUUACCAAUUAAAAAAAAAAUUAAUGGGCCUAUAUCCUGGAAGAAAGGUAAUUGUUUUAGUCCAACUAAAUUUAAUUUAGUGUCCCAUUCUCUUAAAUUUCUCUAUACGUAAUAAAAAUAUGAUUUUUUUAAAAAAAAGAUCCAACUGUAAGUAAAACACACCAUAAUACAUCUACGUCUAAAUGUUGCAUUCCUCACAAGCGAACUUGAUGGGCAUUUAACAAAAGUCUAUAGUUCUGUUAUUUCUAUCUGCAGAACAGUAUAUGCCAAAUUUAUGCUUUCUAGCAAACAUAGUUAUGGAUGUUUAAGGGAUAAAAGCAUUUGCUUGUAAUAUGUAAUGCAAAAGGCCAGGUGGCACAAAGAUUGAUGUUCAAACCUGAGAAAUGAGACCAAGACGACAAGGGAUUGGAUGUUUAGAAUGUAUGAUAAAAAAAAAAAAAAUCUUUUUAGCUGUUUCUGGUGAUAGAUAAUC
Long non-coding RNA from Manihot esculenta (cassava), 1194 nucleotides. RefSeq lists it as uncharacterized. Lineage: Eukaryota; Viridiplantae; Streptophyta; Magnoliopsida; Malpighiales; Euphorbiaceae. The record is from RefSeq and is a predicted model, not a curated record. The transcript is spliced from 2 exons.